This 253-nucleotide ribosomal RNA is filed under the name uncultured bacterium. RNAcentral describes it as "partial 16S ribosomal RNA". It matches the Rfam family "Bacterial small subunit ribosomal RNA", at positions 524 to 776 of the family's 1533-position model. The record is from RNAcentral.
UACGUAGGGGGCUAGCGUUGUUCGGAAUUACUGGGCGUAAAGCGCGCGCAGGCGGCUUUCCAAGUCAGUGGUGAAAGCCCGGAGCUCAACUCCAGAAUUGCCAUUGAAACUGUAAAGCUUGAGUACGAGAGAGGUGAGUGGAAUUCCCAGUGUAGAGGUGAAAUGCGUAGAUAUUGGGAAGAACACCGGUGGCGAAGGCGGCUCACUGGCUCGUUACUGACGCUCAGGCGCGACAGCGUGGGGAGCAAACAGG